RNAcentral lists this ribosomal RNA (466 nucleotides) under uncultured bacterium. RNAcentral's name for it is "partial 16S ribosomal RNA". It matches the Rfam family "Bacterial small subunit ribosomal RNA", at positions 28 to 507 of the family's 1533-position model. The record is from RNAcentral.
GACGAACGCUGGCGGCGUGCUUAACGCAUGCAAGUCGAACGGAAAGGCCCUGCUUGCAGGGUACUCGAGUGGCGAACGGGUGAGUAACACGUGGGUGAUCUGCCCUGCACUUCGGGAUAAGCUUGGGAAACUGGGUCUAAUACCGGAUAGGAGCCAUCUUUAGUGUGGUGGUUGGAAAGUUUUUUCGGUGUAGGAUGAGCUCGCGGCCUAUCAGCUUGUUGGUGGGGUAAUGGCCUACCAAGGCGGCGACGGGUAGCCGGCCUGAGAGGGUGUACGGCCACAUUGGGACUGAGAUACGGCCCAGACUCCUACGGGAGGCAGCAGUGGGGAAUAUUGCACAAUGGGCGCAAGCCUGAUGCAGCGACGCCGCGUGGGGGAUGAAGGCCUUCGGGUUGUAAACUCCUUUCGCUAGGGACGAAGCUUUGUUGUGACGGUACCUAGAUAAGAAGCACCGGCUAACUACGUG